This 432-nucleotide ribosomal RNA is filed under the name uncultured bacterium. RNAcentral describes it as "partial 16S ribosomal RNA". It matches the Rfam family "Bacterial small subunit ribosomal RNA", at positions 29 to 507 of the family's 1533-position model. The record is from RNAcentral.
ACGAACGCUGGCGGCAGGCCUAACACAUGCAAGUCGAGCGAGGACUUCGGUUCUAGCGGCGGACGGGUGAGUACCGCGUGGGAAUGUGCCCUUCUCUACGGAAUAGCCCUGGGGAACUGGGAGUAAUACCGUAUACGCCCUAUUGGGGAAAGAUUUAUCGGAGAAGGAUUAGCCCGCGUUGGAUUAGGUAGUUGGUGGGGUAAUGGCCUACCAAGCCGACGAUCCAUAGCUGGUUUGAGAGGAUGAUCAGCCACACUGGGACUGAGACACGGCCCAGACUCCUACGGGAGGCAGCAGUGGGGAAUCUUAGACAAUGGGGGCAACCCUGAUCUAGCCAUGCCGCGUGAGUGAUGAAGGCCUUAGGGUUGUAAAGCUCUUUCAGCUGGGAAGAUAAUGACGGUACCAGCAGAAGAAGCCCCGGCUAACUCCGUG